Molecule: long non-coding RNA, 425 nt
Filed under: Ananas comosus (pineapple)
Lineage: Eukaryota; Viridiplantae; Streptophyta; Magnoliopsida; Poales; Bromeliaceae
Description: long non-coding RNA (ACOM_LNC004955)
Source: RNAcentral
AAGCACGGAGCAUCUCGUGCUUCCAGGCCGCUUUUGAUAUUGCGACUUUCGAAUCGUCAAUCGGCUCCGUUAAACUUGAUCUAGAGUAUUUGAAGUAUCUAAAAAAUAAAUUUUGCAAUUUUUCGAUAUCAUUUGCCUAGUAAACUAAGGGGCUCAAAAUCAACGGCUGAAAAUAAAAAUCUUACAAAACGUGAUAAUAUGACAUUAAAAUUUUAGAUCAAAGAUAUUGAUCUUGUUUUAUAUAGUAUAAAGAAUUUUCUAUCAAAAUUUCACGUGAUUUGAAUAUUUCUACACCGUUAAACUUGCAAACGGCUCACCACGGCCAUUAAAAUUAUUGAUUUUGAGCCCCUUCGAUCACUAGGCAAAUGAUAUCGAAAAAUUAUAAAAUUUAUUUUCUAAGUACUUCAAAUACUCUAGAUCAAGUU